RNAcentral lists this long non-coding RNA (2009 nucleotides) under Helianthus annuus (common sunflower). The record is from RNAcentral. Lineage: Eukaryota; Viridiplantae; Streptophyta; Magnoliopsida; Asterales; Asteraceae.
CGUGAAAGAGACAGCAAUCGAUUCAUUCAAAUCCCCAGUUUCUCUCCGGUAACAAAAUUCAACAAACAAUCGGCAAUCGUUGGUGUGCUUCUCGGUAGCUCGUUCAAAGGAAAUGUCGAUGUCACUAAUAGUUAUGCAGGGUUUGUUUGGAUCUGAGGUGGUAAAUUUAGUUAUUGUAGAUUGUUUUUGGUGACGUGACAGUUUAAUUUUGUAUUUGUUUGUGGUUAUAGAUUGUUCAUGAUAAGAUAUGUGGUCUAGGCUUUAUAAUUGUGACAGAUGUGACGGUUGAAUUGUUGUGAUUGUUCAGAAUUAUAGAUUGUUUAUGCUAAAGAUGUGUAUUCUAGGGUUUAUAUAAUCAUGACAUAUAUGGCGGUUGAAUUGUUUUGGUUAUUGAGGAUUGUAGAUUGUUUAUGCUAACGAUGUAUUCUAGGGUUUAUAAAUUUUAAUCAUGACAGAUAUGACGGUUGAAUUUUUGUGCCUGUUCGUUGAAUCGAAGUUCUACAGGGAAAUAGAAUUUGCUUCAAAUGCCAACAAAACACUGGCUUUGUUCCCAUGGUUCAAUGGCCUCUUUUUCUUCUAGCCAGCAAGAUAUUCGUUGAUGCAACAUUUGGCGGCAGAGAGUGACUCACAAAUACAAUUGUGGGAAAGGAUUUCGAGAGACGAUUACAUGAAAUAUGCAGUUGAAGAGUGUUUUACACCAUCAAGCUGAUUUUGACCUCAAUUUUUGACAAUGAUGGCAAAGAGUGGGUUAAUAGAAUAUAUGAUGAAAUUCGAGGAAGUAUAGUGAAAGGAGCAACUGUCUCUUGUUACUCAGAAAGUUACUGCACUAACAUGAAUUUUGAAAGAAGUUGGGACACCUGAACUGGAGACUGGUGCGAUUAAUGUUGCGCUAGAUCUUUAUGAUGUUAUCCAGCUUGAUUUUUUUAGUGUGAAUAUGAGAGAAAAUUAUGCCACAUGGAAUAUGUUGAUAAAAGCAUGGAAGGAAGGCCGUUUGUUCAAAGAUUAAGUGGCCAAGAGACCCUGAAUUGAGGUUACAAAUUCGGAGGCUACACUCACUCUUCACUAUCAAAGAUUCAGCAGUAAACGUCCCUAGAAACCUAGACGCUAGACGUAGGUUGGAGUUCUUCACAAAUUCACUUUUCAUGAACAUGCGUAGACCCAAACCUGUUCGGGAAAUGUUAUCUUUCAGUGUUUUUACUCCGUAUUAUUCGGAGACUGUACUUUAUAGCAUCAACGAGCUUCUUAAGAAAACUGAAGAUGGGAUUUCAAUUUUGUUUUACCUCCAAAAGAUUUAUCCCGGUAUUUUGGCUUUCAUGUUCAAUGAAUAGCAGGGGUAUUCCUCUCAGAAUGUUAUCAGUUUCUCAGCUCAAUCGUUCCCUUCAAUCGUUGCCCUUUGAUUGUAUUCAAUCAUGCUUUAUUUAUGUAAAUAUUUGUGCUCAAACUUCUCAAGCUCCAUCAUCGUAUUUUCUACAUGAAAAAAAAUAUUAUUUAUCUUUCUCAGGUAUUUGCUUUGUGCACGCAUGUUUUUGUAAAGAAACAAGGUCCAAAUUACUAUUUUGCACCCACGUUUUUGUAAAGAAACAAGGCUCCGGCUGUUGUGGUUGCAACACCGGUUACGGUUGUUGCGGAUGGACCUUGUAGGAAAGAUGAAUUGAGGCCUCUCUGUUAUUGACAGUUACCAAUUGCUUAAAGGUGCAUAAUUGAUCGAUGAUGAGGUUUUCCUUGCACCUGCCCUUGGUUGGUGCAUAAAGCAAAUAAACUAUAUUUAGUUUUUGUCAUGACAGUGAGUGGAAAGACACAUGUGUAUUUCAAUGGGAUGCUAUACCAAAUUGCCAGUUUUGGUACAGCCAGUAGGCAACUAUUAUGGGCUGUGUUAUUAAGAGGUACAAGUUCAAGAACUGGGAUGAUCUUCUACCUGAUAUUCAGACAAUUUCUAAACAUGUUUGAGGAAAUUAAGUUUGACAAGACGAAGAGGAAGAUAAGUAGGAAUUGCCUUGGAGGAAAUAAAU